UGCAUAUCCCAAAAAGCGGAGGAAAAGAAACCAACAGGGAUUGCCUCAGUAACGGCGAGUGAAGCGGCAACAGCUCAAAUUUGAAAUCUGGCCUCUUGGGGUCCGAGUUGUAAUUUGUAGAGGAUGUUUCGGGUACCGCCUCGGUUUAAAUUUCUUGGAACAGAAUGUCAAAGAGGGUGAGAAUCCCGUCUUGGACCGGCGGUAGGGCCUAUGUGAAACUCCUUCGACGAGUCGAGUUGUUUGGGAAUGCAGCUCAAAAUGGGUGGUAAAUUUCAUCUAAAGCUAAAUAUUGGCCAGAGACCGAUAGCGCACAAGUAGAGUGAUCGAAAGAUGAAAAGCACUUUGAAAAGAGAGUUAAACAGUAUGUGAAAUUGUUGAAAGGGAAGCGCUUGCAACCAGACUUGAGCGCGGCGGUUCCCCCUUGCUUCUGCUUGGGUUACUCCGCCGUGUCCAGGCCAACAUCGGUUCUGGGGGUCGGUCAAAGGCUCUGGGAAUGUAUCUACCCACGGGUAGACUUAUAGACCAGGGUGUCAUGCGACCUCCCGGGACCGAGGAACGCGCUUCGGCUUCCGGGUUGGCGUAAUGGUUGUCAGCGACCCGUCUUGACCACACGGACC
Molecule: ribosomal RNA, 617 nt
Filed under: Fonsecaea nubica
Lineage: Eukaryota; Fungi; Ascomycota; Eurotiomycetes; Chaetothyriales; Herpotrichiellaceae
Description: partial large subunit ribosomal RNA
Rfam family: Eukaryotic large subunit ribosomal RNA
Source: RNAcentral